RNAcentral lists this ribosomal RNA (501 nucleotides) under Triticum aestivum (bread wheat). RNAcentral describes it as "partial small subunit ribosomal RNA". The record is from RNAcentral. Lineage: Eukaryota; Viridiplantae; Streptophyta; Magnoliopsida; Poales; Poaceae.
AUGAAGUCCUCUGCUCAGUUGUCACCCGUGCCAUGCGUUUGCUUAGUUUUCAAAUUGAAUCCUUUUUUAAUCUGUUUGUGGAACCGUCUGCUCGAUAUAUGGUAUAAUUUUAUUUGUCAUGUACAUCUACCGCUGCUGCCCUUGCCUACAAGUACUGUAUCCAAACUUGAUCAGUGCUGGUAUCUUCCCCUUACUGGAUGUGGGAAAGGAUAUAUAAUGACUGAUAUUAUGCUAUUAAAGGAUUGUAGGCAUGUUUCAAAUUAUUACUGGACCUGUGGCAUGGUUAUGUGGUUAUAUUUGGUCACUUUGUUCAUCAGUUCCAAUCCUUUAAAAAGGUUACCACUUUGUUUCAAAUUAUUCAAGGAGGCUACCAGGCAAGACAAAAAAUUAGACAUUGGGUGUUGCAAAAAAGAUUUGAAAAUAGAUCUUUUGCUCCGUCUUACUGCAGCGGCUGGAGCUAUCUUCGCCUGCGUUACUUACUGGGCCUUGGUGUUGGUGUAG